Molecule: unclassified non-coding RNA, 925 nt
Filed under: uncultured marine bacterium
Lineage: Bacteria
Description: partial contains 16S ribosomal RNA, 16S-23S ribosomal RNA intergenic spacer, and 23S ribosomal RNA
Rfam family: Bacterial small subunit ribosomal RNA (bases 1-127)
Source: RNAcentral
GGAGUUGGUUCUACCCGACGGCCGUGCGCUAACCUUUUGGAGGCAGCGGACCACGGUAGGAUCAGCGACUGGGGUGAAGUCGUAACAAGGUAGCCGUAGGGGAACCUGCGGCUGGAUCACCUCCUUUCUAAGGAUUACCCUAGCUGGCAAAUUCGUUUGUCACGUGGGUUACUUAGCAGAAGCAGCAAACAAAGCUGCACAUUUGAGCCAGACUGUCCUCUUAUCUCUUCAGCAUUACAUCAGACCUGCCGGUCUGGACUGGGUCGGUAGCUCAGGUGGUUAGAGCGCACGCCUGAUAAGCGUGAGGUCGGAGGUUCAAGUCCUCCUCGACCCACCAAAUAAUCAUAAAGUCGGGUAAUAACGUAAUUAUGCGAUCUUUAUAUGGGGCCUUAGCUCAGCUGGGAGAGCGCCUGAUUUGCAUUCAGGAGGUCAGGAGUUCGAUCCUCCUAGGCUCCACCAUUACCAAUUUGAGUGCUAAGCAGUAUUACUGUUUAGCCGUCCAAUUGGGCGAUUUUGACAUCGUGAAGAGAGAUACAAAUAUAACUUCUUUUGAGGUUGACGUGUGAGUUAACCUCUCAUUUAGUGAAGCACAAUUGUGUGGACAGUCAGUGUACAAUGGUCUUUUCCUCGACCGUGCGCCGAUAUGCUUUGUGAAACAAAAGGAGUUAUCCAAGUCAAAUACACUAACCAAGCAUUUUUCAGAUUAAUCUGAAUAAAAAUGCGGGAAAGUAUAAAAUUAUGACUUUUGACCAGAAAAGUGGAGCCACCGAACCAGCGGUUCCUUGCAGCUAGUCUGACUUUUUCUGGAUCAAAUCAAGCGCGAGAAGGGCGUUUGGUGAAUGCCUUGGCAGUAAGAGGCGAUGAAGGACGUGAUACUCUGCGAUAAGCGUAGGUGAGCCGAGAAUAGGCUUUGAUCCUGCGAUUU